RNAcentral lists this ribosomal RNA (253 nucleotides) under uncultured bacterium. Its description in RNAcentral is "partial 16S ribosomal RNA". It matches the Rfam family "Bacterial small subunit ribosomal RNA", at positions 524 to 776 of the family's 1533-position model. The record is from RNAcentral.
UACGAAGGGGGCUAGCGUUGUUCGGAAUCACUGGGCGUAAAGGGCGCGUAGGCGGCUGUUCAAGUCGGGGGUGAAAGCCUGUGGCUCAACCACAGAAUUGCCUUCGAUACUGGACGGCUGGAGACCGGAAGAGGUCAGUGGAACUGCGAGUGUAGAGGUGAAAUUCGUAGAUAUUCGGAAGAACACCAGUGGCGAAGGCGGCUCACUGGUCCGGUACUGACGCUGAGGUGCGAAAGCGUGGGGAGCAAACAGG